RNAcentral lists this ribosomal RNA (446 nucleotides) under uncultured bacterium. Its description in RNAcentral is "bacterial SSU rRNA". It matches the Rfam family "Bacterial small subunit ribosomal RNA", at positions 329 to 792 of the family's 1533-position model. The record is from RNAcentral.
UUCCAGACUCCUACGGGAGGCAGCAGUGGGGGAUAUUGCACAAUGGGGGAAACCCUGAUGCAGCGACGCCGCGUGAGUGAAGAAGUAUUUCGGUAUGUAAAGCUCUAUCAGCAGGGACGAAAAUGACGGUACCUGAGUAAGAAGCCCCGGCUAACUACGUGCCAGCAGCCGCGGUAAUACGUAGGGGGCAAGCGUUAUCCGGAUUUACUGGGUGUAAAGGGAGCGUAGACGGCUGUGCAAGCCAGAUGUGAAAGCCCGGGGCUCAACCCCGGGACUGCAUUUGGAACUGUGUGGCUGGAGUGUCGGAGAGGCAGGCGGAAUUCCUAGUGUAGCGGUGAAAUGCGUAGAUAUUAGGAGGAACACCAGUGGCGAAGGCGGCCUGCUGGACGAUGACUGACGUUGAGGCUCGAAAGCGUGGGGAGCAAACAGGAUUAGAUACCCCAGUA